AUGAAACUUCAAAGUCGGCUCGUUCUGUGCUGGUGAUUACUCACAUGUGCACGUCGAGUCGCAAAUCCACACACCUGUGCAUCUUUGACUCGAGGUUAGUAAAAUGACCAAGAGUACUUUUAUACACUCUGAAUGUAAUGGAAUGUCUAUGUGCAAUAAUGUACAAAUAAA
This 171-nucleotide unclassified non-coding RNA is filed under the name uncultured Sebacinaceae. RNAcentral's name for it is "sequence contains ITS1". Lineage: Eukaryota; Fungi; Basidiomycota; Agaricomycetes; Sebacinales; Sebacinaceae. The record is from RNAcentral.